This 435-nucleotide long non-coding RNA is filed under the name Salmo salar (Atlantic salmon). RNAcentral's name for it is "lncRNA (ENSSSAG00000112167.1)". Lineage: Eukaryota; Metazoa; Chordata; Actinopteri; Salmoniformes; Salmonidae. The record is from RNAcentral.
GAGGGAGUGAAAGGAUGCCAGGUCCGCAGGGAGGCGACUUUUCCUCCAUUUCCGCUCGGCUGCCCGGAGCCCUGUUCUGUGAGCUCGCAAUGAGUCGUCGAGCCACAGAGCAGGAGGGGAGGACCGAGCCGGCCUGGAGGAUAGGGGACAUAGAGAAUGAUAGGAUGGAAGAGGAGAGAGUAGCGGGAGAGAGAGAGCGAAGGUUGGGACGGCGCAAUACCAUCCGAGUAGGGGCAGAGUGAGAAGUGUUGGAUGAGAGCGAGAGGGAAAAGGAUACAACGUAGUGGUCGGAGACUUGGAGGGGAGUUGCAAUGAGAUUAGUGGAAGAACAGCAUCUAGUAAAGAUGAGGUCAAGCGUAUUGCCUGCCUUGUGAGUAGGGGGGGAAGGUGAGAGGGUGAGGUCAAAAGAGGAGAGGAGUGGAAAGAAGGAGGCAG